GCAUUCGUAGUGCAACGGUAGCACACUUGGCGUGCAUUCUAGAGGUCCGGGUUCGAGUCCCGGCAAGGGCA
This 71-nucleotide transfer RNA is filed under the name Stegodyphus mimosarum. It matches the Rfam family "tRNA". Rfam says of the family: Transfer RNA (tRNA) molecules are approximately 80 nucleotides in length. The record is from Rfam by way of RNAcentral. Lineage: Eukaryota; Metazoa; Arthropoda; Arachnida; Araneae; Eresidae.